Long non-coding RNA from Gallus gallus (chicken), 1265 nucleotides. The record is from Ensembl. Lineage: Eukaryota; Metazoa; Chordata; Aves; Galliformes; Phasianidae.
ACUUUUCUGGAUGGGGCUGGCAGCGAGCAGGACUCCAGUUGCCCAAUAUUAAUCCCAUGAUGUAAUCUGCAGAAGAUUUGUCUAUGGGGAUUGUUUGCCGGAGGGGAAUUGUGACAUGCAGGACUGUAACUGCUGAAAUCCUGAGAAAGAUGAUCAUUUGGAGAAGUUUAGGGUAAUCUUGCAGAAGGGCAGAGCAUCAGUUCUGCUCAGGUUUGCUGUGUGUUGGGAGCUUCUCCUCGGUCAUCCAUAGAAGAUAUGAAGCAUCCUGCCUUCUCUCCCACUGUGACAAGAGCCGUGCCCCGAGAGCUGUAGAUGGAAAUGUAGUUCAAACCACAGCAUGACCGUCCAUUCGUCUGCUUAUUUGUGAAAGCUGUUGGUGAGGCAGUGGGAGGUGUGGGACUGAGGAUGGAGCAGGGAGAGCCAUGAGAGCAGCAGGAGACAGCGCUGGGAGCAUCAGAUGGAGCUGUUUGUUUCACACUACUGAAGCUUGCACUUGGAUCCAAAUCAAAAUACAGGAGAGCUUUGCUGCAGAACACCACAUCUAGCCCUGGCAUCGGAAGAGCACUUAGCAACAGCAAAGCCUUCCAUUCUGAGAUGGCUGCUCUGUGGGAAGCAGUUCAGUACAUCCAAAUGUUCACUGCUCGGUUCUUCACUGAGAGGAGAGGAAACAUUCACUCCAUGGUCCUCUGGUGUCUGUGACUUUGUUCAGUGUUGCUCUCCUGCAUUAUAGAGUUCUACUCGUCAGUAACUUCCAUCACUGCAGACCCAAACACUUGCAAAGAACACAAGUGCUGGCAUUUCCUUUUUAAGGAGGAGUGCAUCAAAGUGCCAGGAGCACGGCCUGGUCCCAGCAAAGCAGUGGCAGAACUGGAACAGUGUGUGACAUAACUGAGUGCUGUGGGCUCACAGUGCCUUGGAGCAGUGUGGGAGCUGCAAAGAGUCCUUCGUCCUUUCCAGUUCCUCUCUGAGAAGUCACUGGUGUUUGGUGCCAUCCAGAGAGCAAGUAUGGGAUCAAGAAAUACUUUUUCUCUAGGGUGUUAUUAUGUACUGUGGGGCUCCUCUUUCUGAUGUUUGAAGUACUGAAGCUGUGUGUAAAGUUGCCAUUUAUCUGUGCUUUUGUUUAGGAUGUUAACAUAAUAGAGUGGCUUCUUCAGGAGCUGUGUUCUUGACCACACUCUGAGCUGCUGUAAAUGCAGCAUCCAUCCACAGGUCAGGGAAAGCUGUUCAGAAUUUGUGAUGCACAAAUAAACAGCUGUUUGUCCAUU